Molecule: ribosomal RNA, 253 nt
Filed under: uncultured bacterium
Lineage: Bacteria
Description: partial 16S ribosomal RNA
Rfam family: Bacterial small subunit ribosomal RNA
Source: RNAcentral
UACGUAGGUGGCAAGCGUUGUCCGGAUUUACUGGGCGUAAAGGGCGUGCAGGCGGUCUGUUAAGUCUAGGGUGAAAGCUCCCGGCUCAACUGGGAGAGGUCCUUGGAUACUGGCAGACUUGAGGAGAGUAGAGGAGAGUGGAAUUCCCGAUGUAGUGGUGAUAUGCGUAGAUAUCGGGAGGAACACCAGUGGCGAAGGCGGCUCUCUGGGCUCUACCUGACGCUGAGACGCGAAAGCGUGGGGAGCGAACCGG